AUCAGCCUUUCGGGUGCGAUUCUGUGGGGUUUGAGGAGCUUAACACCUUCAUGCUUUGCAUAUUCGUGCUCUUGGGUGUACUUGCCCGUGUGGUUGGUUAACAUCAAUUUUGGUGGUCAUAAAAUGACUGGAGGAAUGUAGCUUCGAUCUUGUAUUGAAGUGUUAUAGCCUUCGGUAGAUGUGAUGAUCGAGAUUGAGGAUUGCAACGGAUACCCUUCGGGGCUACCUGUCUGAUCUCUGAUCGUUGCUCUGGUGCCGAAAGCUUGCUUACGGUUAUCAAAGUCGAUGGUCAAUAGGUUAGAACGGGUUAAAUUCGUUAAGGAUGUUGACGUAAUGGCUUU
Molecule: ribosomal RNA, 341 nt
Filed under: uncultured Glomeromycotina
Lineage: Eukaryota; Fungi; Glomeromycota
Description: eukaryotic LSU rRNA
Source: RNAcentral